RNAcentral lists this small nuclear RNA (63 nucleotides) under Cynoglossus semilaevis (tongue sole). RNAcentral describes it as "U4 spliceosomal RNA (ENSCSEG00000012991.1)". The record is from RNAcentral. Lineage: Eukaryota; Metazoa; Chordata; Actinopteri; Pleuronectiformes; Cynoglossidae.
AGUAUCGUCGUUUAUGAGAUUUAUCCGAGGCACGAUUAUUGCUCGUUGAAAACUUUACCCAAC